AGAAAGAAAAAUAAAUCAAAUAUCAAAAGUAAAAUACACAAACACCAAUAUAAACAUAAACAAAAAUAAAAGGAUUAGCAAAGUUACUAAUCCCCGGCAACGGCGCCAAAAUUUGAUGCGUAAAAUAACUAAACACACAAAUUAAACCCUCUUUUUGACAAUUGUAGUAUAGAUGUAAGUAGGGUAUCGUUCUAGGCCGGGGAUU
Molecule: long non-coding RNA, 205 nt
Filed under: Malus domestica (apple)
Lineage: Eukaryota; Viridiplantae; Streptophyta; Magnoliopsida; Rosales; Rosaceae
Description: long non-coding RNA (MDOM_LNC019543)
Source: RNAcentral